This 385-nucleotide ribosomal RNA is filed under the name uncultured bacterium. RNAcentral describes it as "bacterial SSU rRNA". It matches the Rfam family "Bacterial small subunit ribosomal RNA", at positions 29 to 417 of the family's 1533-position model. The record is from RNAcentral.
AUUGAACGCUGGCGGAAUGCUUUACACAUGCAAGUCGAGCGGCAGCGCGGGGCAACCUGGCGGCGAGCGGCGAACGGGUGAGUAAUACAUCGGAACGUACCCAGUUGUGGGGGAUAGCCCGGCGAAAGCCGGAUUAAUACCGCAUACGACCUGAGGGUGAAAGGGGGGGAUCGCAAGACCUCUCGCAGUUGGAGCGGCCGAUGGCGGAUUAGCUAGUUGGUAGGGUAAAGGCCUACCAAGGCGACGAUCCGUAGCUGGUCUGAGAGGACGACCAGCCACACUGGAACUGAGACACGGUCCAGACUCCUACGGGAGGCAGCAGUGGGGAAUUUUGGACAAUGGGGGCAACCCUGAUCCAGCCAUUCCGCGUGAGUGAAGAAGGCCU